This 460-nucleotide long non-coding RNA is filed under the name Vigna radiata. RNAcentral's name for it is "long non-coding RNA (VRAD_LNC002673)". Lineage: Eukaryota; Viridiplantae; Streptophyta; Magnoliopsida; Fabales; Fabaceae. The record is from RNAcentral.
GAUAGGGGCAUCAAAUUAAUGUUUGACCUUAAAUCAAGUAGAGCUUUCCCUAUUUUCACAUUCCCAAUGGUGCAAGGAACUUCCUGGAUCCUUCGCUUUUGGAGGACAUGAUUUCUUCAACAAGACACUGCAACUACCCUGUUCAUCAGUAACUUUCGCAUCUAGAUAUAUCUUUUCUGUGAGGAACUGCUUUAUACACUUUGCAUAGGCAGGAAUUUGCUGCAGUGCUUCAGUCAACGGUAUAGUAAUCUCCAAGUGAUUGAAGAUCUCUCUAAAAUGCUCACAUUGUCUCUCUUUAUCUACUCUCUCACGCCCCUUUGGAUAAGGAAGAUUUUUUCAUCUUUUUCAAUUUUUUUCUCUCCCCUCUUCUUAUCUUCUUUUUCCAUCUCACCCUUACAAAUUUUCUCUUCUUUUUCCUCUAUCUUCUCUAACUCACCGUUCUCUUUUUUCUCUUCCACUC